GAUGAACGCUAGCGGCGUGCCUAACACAUGCAAGUCGAACGUGAAGCCGGCUUCGGUUGGUGGAAAGUGGCGGACGGGUGAGUAACACGUAAGUAACCUGCCUCAGAGUGGGGGAUAACCAUUAGAAAUGAUGGCUAAUACCGCAUGGUUUUGCUAAGAUGGGAAUUUUGGCAAAUAAAGCUAAGGCGCUUUGAGAGGGGCUUGCGUCCGAUUAGUUAGUUGGUGGGGUAAAGGCCUACCAAGGCGAUGAUCGGUAGCUGGUCUGAGAGGGUGAACGGCCACACUGGGACUGAGACACGGCCCAGACUCCUACGGGAGGCAGCAGUGAGGAAUUUUCCGCAAUGGGCGCAAGCCUGACGGAGCGACGCCGCGUGAGGGAUGACGGCCUUCGGGUUGUAAACCUCUUUUAUUAAGGAAAAAGGUUUAUGUGUUAAUACCACGUAAACU
Molecule: ribosomal RNA, 447 nt
Filed under: uncultured bacterium
Lineage: Bacteria
Description: bacterial SSU rRNA
Rfam family: Bacterial small subunit ribosomal RNA
Source: RNAcentral